This 7645-nucleotide long non-coding RNA is filed under the name Lactuca sativa (garden lettuce). RNAcentral describes it as "long non-coding RNA (LSAT_LNC003474)". Lineage: Eukaryota; Viridiplantae; Streptophyta; Magnoliopsida; Asterales; Asteraceae. The record is from RNAcentral.
UCUAUUGUACAUGCAAGUUAUCCAAGACUAUAAACCCUAAUUCUAGCAUUCAAGUAAUCAUAUUAACAUGAGAAUGAGUUUAAGAUAUUGCCUUGAUUUUUAUAUAGCAAUAACAAUCCCAAUUCCUCCUAGUAUUGACUUUAGAAAGCUUAGAGUCACAAAUGUCACUCCUCUAAUGGUUCACAAACACCAAGAGAAAGAGGAUGAGGAGGAGAGAGGAUGGAGGCUGCCCAAAAACGUCUACAAACCCUAGAGAAGUCUUAGCCACGUUUUUGGGUCAUAAGGGUCAUACAUAUAGUGAGGCUAUUAGGGUUAUCUAACCAGGAAACCCUAAUUUGGAUGCUUAAGCCCUAAGCAACCCAUGGACUCCUUUAAUUAAGGCCUUGGACGAUUUCCCCAUGGGUUUCCCAUAGAAUUCGUCCACUCCUUAAUUUAAGACAAUCCAUAGCCCAUAUUGCAAUUAUCUUAUAAUUACAAUUCCAGUCCCUUAAGUUUAAUUAAUCUCUUUUAGUCACAAAACUAAUUACCAAUUAAUUCUUGACUAAUAUUAAUUAAACAAUAUGAUUUCUCCUUUAAUAUAUUAUUCUCAUAAUAUAUUAAUAAAUCAUAUUUAAUCCUUUCUCUCCAUAAUUCAUCCUAUCAAGUUGCUUUGGUGAAGGCAACCCAAAAGGACCAUGCACCAUCGGGUCAAGUACAUACCAAAAUAGUUAUGGACUUAGACACUAAUCCAACAGUCUCCCACUUGGAUAAGUCUAAUAACUAUUAUGCGUAUGACUUCAGAUCCUGAUCUGCAAUCGUAGCUUUCCAAAGCCGCUGUCAACUCUGAUCCUAUCAGAUACGCGUGUCCUUUAGAUAAGGGAUCAUAUAUUCCUCCAUUCUAGAUAUCAUAUGAGAUAUGAUUUCAAAUCAUUCUCUUUGUACUAUAUCUCGAUUCCCGAUUUAUGACGACUGACUAAUUGAACAAAUCAAAUUAGCCCUAGCCCGGCCGAGCAUUUACGUUUGUCAUCACUAAAUCAUCGAGGGGCCCAAAGAUAUCGCUUUUAUCCUACUUUGGAUAAAAGGAACGGAUAAACUUUGAUACAAUGCUUGCUUGCACUCACUCACCGAAUCACACACAACAAUAUGUUUUAUAACACCAAGUUACUAGUGCGUUUACAUAUUAUCAAUGUGCAACCGAUUUGCAAGAUACAACUCACACAUCUCGGUUUCAAGAAUAUAAGAUGUUAUCGUCUCACCAAUCACUCGUGAUACAAUUCAUGGAGUGAUCCAAGUGAGCGUGGGUUUAAUCCAAUGCUCAAAUCAUAUUCAUAAGCACUCAUGAACGUUGCAGCAAACAUUUGCUUAUGUCUAAUACUCUUUUAGACAAUCCACACACCAAUUCACGACAGUCUUCAUUCAUAUCUACUUCCAACAUAUGAACGACUGUGGCCCGUUCGAAUAAUUCGAUUAUUCUUAAUAAAUUCAAUUAUUCUGGAAGUCAAAACAUGCAAAUGUGAAACACAAGAAUAAUACUAAUCCCAUAUGGCCUCAAACCUUUGAGUAUAAAUAAAACUCCUUUUAUUUAUCACCAUAUCGAUUACUCAUUAUUUGUCGUUUCGGGUAAUCAACUUCUUACUUGAAUUAUUACACUUGUCCCAUGCUCUUAGCAUGCACACAAUGUUUACCUAUGGUUCUUACUUUUGUGAAAUAGAUCAAAUUGAACACAUUUCCAAUCAUUCUCAUUUCACAACUCCAAAUCCUUUUUCAUAAGUGUGAGAAUAUCAAAUUCUUGUUACUUAUAAAAUAUGCUAGAUUCUAACAUUCUAUGCAAUGAUCCUUUCGUAAUGUCACUGCACCAAAGUCACAAAGACUAUUGCCAAUGAUAUUACAAAGUCCUCUAUCGGAGAUUGUUACAAGACAAUUCCUUAGAUAUGAUGUCUCUCACUCAAAGUACAUUCCUUUGAACAUCCUUUUGCAUAAAAGUUUCUAAUCUAGACAUAGAUUUUCAAUAUUCAAUUCCCAAUAUGGACACGUUUCCAUAUUUUCCAUAUGACAACUCAUUCUUAAUAGAAUCUUAUCUAUUCGUAAUGAUGUCGAUAUGGUCCAUCCAAUAUGGAAACAUUUCCAUAAUUUCCAUAUGACAACUCAUUCUUAAUAGAAUCUUUUCUAUUCAUAAUAAUGUCGAUAUGGUCCAUCCAAUACCAUGCUUCCAACUACUCACAAGCGACCAAUCCUCGUCGAACUUUGGAUUGUCCUUUGAUAGUUGUUUAAUUAUUUUAGUCAAAACCAAUUCUAGUCCCUUUUCCCUCUAAAUGCGCUCGACAUUUGGAAAAUUUUAGAAUGGUCAAACAUUAAAGCAUUUGCAAUCGAUCCUAUACCCGAAGCGUAUGGGACACGACGCAUAAUGUUUUAUUUGCUAUGUUCUCAAAAUUCGAAUUGUGAAGAGGAAUGCCGUAAUCAUAAUCGAAAUUUUAAGAACACACUAUGUACCUUUGACUAAAUUUAUUAACAUUUCUCAACCUAAGCCUUUAGAUUUGAAAUGAAGCAUAAUAUUCUCUCCCUUAAUUAUAGCAAAACAACUUUACAACCCUUACGACUUUGCAAGGUAUAACUCUUGUUUUCUAUAAUUAAUAUUGCCAACUUGCAAUACGUGCCUUAAUAAUCAUACAAUCAUAACAUUUAUGCUCCCACUAUCAUGAUGAUUAUUAUAAAACAUAACACUUAUGCUCCCACUAGCUUCGACAUGUAUUCAUAAACAUCUUAACUUUCAGAAAAACAAUACUUAUUGAAUUUCUUAAGUUCAUGUUUCUAAUACUUAGUGCUUUGAUAAUCUUUUAUCAAGGCUUCUUGAACUUAUACACCUUUGCCUUCGAUAGUUCAUAUGUGUGUCUAAACAAUUAAGACUAAUUGCCAAACCUCACAAUUCAAAUUAUGGAAAGGGAUACCGUAACCAUAAUCGAAUUCGAGAAUGCAAUUUUACAAUCACUAUCUUCUUAAAAUCUUUCUUAGUGAAAGCAUUUCCUCACAAUCAUUUUCAUGAAGGAGGAAAUCUUAUGACACUUAGAUUUAAACGGUGUAUGUGUUCCUAUCCAUGUGAAUUUGUUAAAACCAAAGUUUACGACAAAUUCAAACUCAUAUGGACCGAACUUUCUUAAUCUUGAUUUCUUGCCUUAUGGUAGCACAGCUGCCCACCAUGUCUUCCAAGUAGUUAAGCAGCUCACCCUUUCCUAUCAAUGUACCUUUCAUUGAUUAAGGUGCUUUGCCUUUUAUGCGUUCAAAAUGAGAACUCAUAGAACUCACAUGCAUAAUUAACUCGAUUGGAUUGGCACAGAAACAAAAUAAUGUCAACACGAUAGGUUGUAAACCUCAACUCGUGUGCUAGUGAUGAUCGAUAAGGUUUAUUUGAUUUGUUCUUGAAACCUUUCAAGACCAUUAAGACUCCCACUGACUCCUUGACAUAUAAGAUUCUCUUGUCAAUAAACAUUUCUUGACAAACAAAUAUUCAAGAGUUAGUGUAGCUUUUAUCAAAACACUUCAUAAAUUGGUCCUAGUUGGUCUUUGUCUUAUCCAAGACAUCACAACUUUCCACAUUUGAUGAAUGUUAUAAACCUUCUUAAUACUUAUCACUCAAUGUCACAAUCUUAACUCUAAGACUUGUUUUGGAACGAAGUAUGAUUGACUUCUUGAUUUAACCAUUUCUUCAAUUCUUGAUUCCUCUUCUUAGACAUACAAUUGUACUAAGACUCACUUAGAGGAUCAAUUGAGAUAUGGUUCUUAAUCAUUAAGACCUAUCAUAAAGCAUAAAAGGUACUCUCCCUUCUUCUUAGAAUGGAGAAACUUUUAUCUUUCUGCCUACUUGAUUCUUCUUAUUCGUUCUGCUAUUGAUUUAAACUUUUUCAAUCAAUUCAGAAUUACACUUAAUCUUAUAAGUAUAAUCAUAUUUACUAAACCUUUAGUAAAUCAUGACGAAUAUCUUUGUUACUCUUAUGGUGGACUUGAUCAACACGCAACUUUGUGUACUCGAUCUCCUAGUCCUUCACUUGACACUUUGUCAAUGAAUUAGUCUAAUUUCCAAAUAUGAAAUUUCUCAUUCAUCGUGCAACCAAGUUGCAUGAUUCCAAGUUUCUGUCCAAUUGAAACUUGGGCGAUGAGAAACUCUCCCUAUUUGGUAAAUUCUCGACUUUCCAUAAAUAACAUAAUAAGAACCAAAUCCAUUAUUGCUAAUAAUAGAAACAUUCAAACAUCAAUUUUUCAUAUACGCCAUUGCAAGGAUAAAUAAAUAAUAUAAAAUCAAAAUUUAUUUUAUUGCGGAAAAAAUUUGUCCUUACAAUGCAAUUCAUUGAAAAACUAUGCUAAUACAUCUUUCUUAGCAAUCUAAUUCUAACUCUAAGUAGUAGCUCAAGAAUCUAAUCUUCGAGAAAUGCGAUCGAAAUCCAUUCCUUCACGGUUAGAUUCUGCUCACUUCUUCCCUUAAGCUUCCUUUCUUUUCUUCGAUCCUACAAAACAUCAAUUGUAAUCUUAUCACAUUAUGUAUUAAGAAUCUAGAAUAGAAGCUUAAAAGAGUUAGUUAAUGGAUUUUACCUAUAUUAGAGCCAUACGUUUCGACUCUCCCAUCUCUUAGAUCUCUUAGGUAAAUAGGGCAGCUUCGUCUCCAAUGCCCUUUCUCUUGGCAAUAAAAGCAAAUUGACUCUUUUGGAACAUGACAUGGAACUACUUCAGACAUUGCCUUUCUCUUAUGAUCAAACUUUUCGAUCAUAGCAUGUCUUUCGUUGCCAUUGUCUAUAUCCAUAGAGGUCUUGAAGGCAGAUUCACCAAUCAACUUUGCUUUUCUAUUGCGCCAAACCAUUGCUGAUUCAGCAGCAAUAAGCAUAUAGGUGAGAUCUAUAAGGGUCACGUCGCAGUUCAUCAUAUAGUACUCUCUUACGAACUCACUAUAUGAGUUAGGAAGUGACAGAAGAACCCAAUCAACAACCAUCUCCUCAUAGAGAACGGAUCCUAACAUUCUUAACCUAUCAAUGUGUGACUUCAUCCCUAGGACGUGUGCACACACCGACUUUCCUUCUUUAUGUUUACUUGCCAAAAGGGCUUGAGUGAUCUUGAACUUUUCAAGCCUUUGAACUUGUGGGUUAGGGAGAAUAAUUGGAGGAGGAGGAGGAAGUGAAGCAUGAUUUCUUGUUCCUCGAUCGAAUCGUGGAAUAUCAUCUUCAUGUGGAAUGCUUGUUCCACGGGAUUUGGGAAGACCAUAGUUGUCGAACUUUGACAUCUACAAAACGGGAGAAAACGAAUUCAAGUUAGUUGAUUGAUUGAGUCCUUAGUAAAUCACCCAAAUGAGAUACUAAGGCUAGGACCCAACACAAUAUUCUACAACUCGGGAGAGGGAUGCCGUAACCCUAAUUGCAGAAUAUUUGAAGGUAAGUGAAUGACGAUUCACUAAUUUCCACCAUGAAAAACGAAAAAGAAAUUUAAGUUUUAAAUCUAUGAAAACUCCUAGAUCCUUUGAGAUUCAUUGAACUUUCAAUGGCAUGUUUAAAUCUCGAUAUGCCCCUCUUGUUUGUGACUGGGAUGCCGAGGAUCACAAAGCGGGUGUGAAUAACCAUGCAAACUUACAUGGUGCCCUCACAUGUUACAGUCACCUAUUCGAUGUGCCGGUAAACCACACACGCUCCACCGAACUAUGACAAACAUUGAGUCACCCUUUGCUACCUUUGCUUAGAACCAUUUAGUGUGCCGGUAAACCACACACGCUCCACUAACGUCUUCGCAAGGGCACAAAGUGUAAUUUCAUGGAAUUGCAUCAAUUCACUUUUGCCUAAGUAACUAAGAUUGGGAAUUUUAUGAAAACAUUUAGUUACUUUAGUAAUUCAUUAUACUUAUAAUGGAAGGUUUCGUCCUAUCCUACCCGUUCGGCUAACGACCCUCCACUAGUCAAGAGUGCGGUGGGUAAGAGUGGAUACCCAUUCAAUCGCCAUUUUAUAGGCAAUUUCCUUAAACACCCCUUAUAGACCAGCUUCGUGAAUGAGGCCUACUAACGGUAAGACUGACUUUUACUCAUACAUAUAUAUAAUGUUAGACUUUUAAUGUUAUAUAUAGUAUAGGGUGUAUUUUACACUUUUAAAAUACUAGGUGGUCUAAUUUAACAAUUAUACUUUUAAUUCAAUUAAAUUGUAAACCUAAACUUUUAUGGAUUUAUUAAACCUCUUUUAAUUAUACACCUUAAUUAAUUAAUAAAACCAUAAGGGUGUGAUUUGAAUUUUUCAAAACAAUACUAGGGUUUUAGAAUUUAACAUUCCUAAUUAAACCUUUAAUCAACUUUUAAAUUCCAAAACUUGAGGGCAAGUUUUGAAACAUUUCAAAACAUUAGGGUUUAGAAUUUAAAUAUUUCAAAAUCAAACUUUUCAAUCAAAAUUUAAAUUCCAAAACUUGAGGGCAAGUUUUGAAACCUUUUUCAAAACAUUAGGGUUUCAACUAUUUAAAUUUCAAAACAAAACUUUUGAGUUCAAAUUUAAACUAUAAAACCUAAAGGGAUUAAUUUGAAACUUUUCCAAACUUUGUCAAGAAUAUUCUAGAUCACAUAAUUCAAAUAAGGCAAUUAACUAUAAUUGGUGGUUAUCUAAUUAGAUCUAGUUCAAAUUCUUGCAAGAUAAUGAUCAAAUAAUUUCCAUAACUUAACAUAUAUCAAAUAAGGUAACAAUUAUCUAAUUAGAUGACCAAAAUCUUUUAUUUUGGCAAGGAUAAUCAUAAGGGAUUAACAAAAUUCGAUGUUUAUUAAGUUUAAACAAUUAUGGCAAUUAUCCUAAGUCAAAAUAGGUAAAAAAUCCCGAAAAUCCGCCUGUCUGACAGCUAAACUCGCCGAGUCCCCUUAUGGACUCGCCGAGUCCCCUUUGACUCGCCGAGUUCACCCUACUCGACGAGUCCACAUUGGAACUCGACGAGUUUGUCAGGCAGAUGGCCAAAAACUCGAUCUUGCAACAUGAAUGAACGUACUAGGCAUCAAUACAAUAGAAACCAAUCAAGGCUCUGAUACCACUAAUGGGUUUUGGCGAUAAGAACAUCCUAUGUGCUCAUGCAACCCUAAUGCUUGGAUCUAGAUUUCUCUAUUGUACAUGCAAUUCAUCCAAUACUUUAAACCCUAGUUCUAGCAUACNAUGAGUUUAAGAUAUUACCUAGGUUGUUAUAUAGCAAUAACAAUCCCAAUUCCUCCUUGUAUUGACUUUAGAAAGCUUAGAGUCACAAAUGUCACUCCUCUAAUGGUUCACAAACACCAAGAGAAGGAGGAUGAGGAGGAGAGAGGAUGGAGGCUGCCCAAAAACGUCUACAAACCCUAGAGAAGUCUUAACCACGUUUUUGGGUCAUAAGGGUCAUAUAUUUAGUGAGGCUAUUAGGGUUAUCUAACCAGGGGCUUCCUGAGUACGUGGUCCAUCCAAAACAAGGGGGAGAAUGAGCUUCAAAAGGCAAUAAUCAAUCUCAACCGCCUCCUACUUCUACAUCAACUUCAACUAAAGCAACCGAACCUCCAACAACUGGUCAUGCUUCAGGUUCGGGUGCUCAAGACAAAGGGAAAAACGUUCUUGAUGACAGUGAUGGCGACGAUGACAAAAAAGCCAUUGCUGAUAUCUUGAAGAAACAGGCCAGGGAUAAGGAUCCAGACAUGAGUGCUCGGAUCGCU